CUUGUGGGAAGACCGUCUCCAUACAAUAACAAAAGAUACAACUCUUA
Molecule: ribosomal RNA, 47 nt
Filed under: Pyropia yezoensis (susabi-nori)
Lineage: Eukaryota; Rhodophyta; Bangiophyceae; Bangiales; Bangiaceae
Description: partial 5.8S ribosomal RNA
Source: RNAcentral